AUGCAGGCUGAAGUUCUCAAAAUCACUGUUGGACAACUCCUUGAGAUCGAGCCCAUGCCCGUGCUUAGAGAGGAUGAAAUAAAACGGAAAUAUGUCCGGGGCCAACCUUUGGUCGAGCCAGACAAGGUCAAGAACCUCCCAACGAGAAUGUAUGAAUUGCAUCAAUGGUACAUGAACAUUACCAAGAUUUCCGAUCGAUUGUCCCUCAUGGUGAAUGUCAAGGAGGAGCAUUACUACCAUGAGAAAGAUGUGUCCAUUGAGUAUUAUGAACUGUUUCAGUUAUACAAUCAAGACGCACUCGAAAAAUCUAUCGUCAGUUGCUAUUGUCUGAUGAAGAUGUAUGAAAUGAGAAAAGGUGGACGCUAUGGCAUUGGGUUCAUUGACCUAAACACCGUUAAUGAAUACACAUGGAAAAUAGAUGAACGUCAUCAAAAGGCCGUAGAGGACAGCAUGCUAGAGUUCUUGAAGAGCCUCAAAUACAAUGAAGAUAUACUACUUCCUUACAACUUCCAAUUUCACUGGGUCUUGUGUAUCAUUAAAGUUGACGUCGGAACAGUUGAAAUACUGGACUCACUACUCAAAGAAAAAACUGACUAUAACAUCUUGUUUGGGAUAGUCAACAGGGCUUGGGCAAGGUUCAUCAGGGUCACGGAAGGCGAAUGGAAAGAAAAGCUUAAAUGGGGAAGACCCAAGGCCCUGAAGCAGGCGCAGGGGACUGAUCUGUGUGCAUUCUGCGUUUGCGAGAACAUUUGCAUGAUGGCGUCCGAAAGGAGCAGAUCUCAAAGACAGGAAUGGUUUAGAGAGGUGCGGGCGAAGCUCCUAGAAACGGAGCGCGUAGAAGCACUUCAAGAGGAAAUAGCGGGAUUUUUGCUCGACCAGGUCAUAAAUCCGAAGGGAGAACUAUUACCCGCUACCGCCCCCAUGAAAACCACUUCCAAUUGUCAUCGUGCUCCGAAGGCACCAAUUAGGCUAUAA
This 975-nucleotide ribosomal RNA is filed under the name Triticum aestivum (bread wheat). RNAcentral's name for it is "partial small subunit ribosomal RNA". Lineage: Eukaryota; Viridiplantae; Streptophyta; Magnoliopsida; Poales; Poaceae. The record is from RNAcentral.